GUGCCAGCCGCCGCGGUAAUACCAGCUCUCCGAGUGGUGUGGAUGUUUAUUGGGCCUAAAGCAUCCGUAGCUGGCUAAGUUAGUCCCUUGUUAAAUCCACCGAAUUAAUCGUUGGAUUGCGGGGGAUACUGCUUGGCUAGGGGACGAGAGAGGCAGACGGUAUUUUUGGGGUAGGGGUGAAAUCCUAUAAUCCCAGGAAGACCACCAGUGGCGAAGGCUGUCUGCUAGAACGCGCCCGACGGUGAGGGAUGAAAGCUGGGGGAGCGAACCGGAUUAGAAACCCCGGUAGUCC
RNAcentral lists this ribosomal RNA (292 nucleotides) under uncultured bacterium. Its description in RNAcentral is "partial 16S ribosomal RNA". It matches the Rfam family "Archaeal small subunit ribosomal RNA", at positions 455 to 747 of the family's 1478-position model. The record is from RNAcentral.